AAGCAGAAAAGAGUAAUAGAAAAAUAGUUUUCAUUUUCAAUUUUCCUCAAAAGGGUUGUUUUUUAUGGUGCUUGAGUGCUUUUGCAAAGGACGUCCAGUUUUUGCUAUUGAAAAUAAACUAAAAAUUGAGUUAGUUUGAACGUGAUCUCUGAAAUGUAUACUUGCAGCCUUCCUUUUGGACUCAGUGAUGGACUGGAGAAAAAAAUAAACCUGUCCAGGCCGGGGGACUUGGAUGAAAAAACAGAUGACUUCACAGCAGCUCAACAUGUGCACUUCAGUGACGGGGAAAGGGAGCAGACCAUGUGGAUGCUAAAACACCACCGACGAAGACACUCCGUCACACUUGGAGAUAAAAUUCUAGUCUGUAAACAGCAGCACAGCUGUUUUCGAUCAGCCAACAAACUUGAGUAUUUGAAAGACCACCAUGCAUCAAAGAAUAGUUGCUAGGAAACCAGAGAAAAUCCUAAGAAAGAGUUGAAAGGAAAGGAAGUGGCCUCAUAUUUGACCACUGGAUCUGAUCUGCUCAUUACAAUGACAUUGUUGCCUCAGGAAAAAUUCCUGAUAAUGAACUGUAAAAUAUUCAUCAUUAAUGGCUCCUCUCUUCGUUUUUAGCCCUUCGACUUUAAAAACUGCUUGGUGAGUUGACUAGCUGUGAUUUAAAAGAGAAUGCUAUUUAAUGCAACUUUGAUCAUGUGAUGCUUUAAAUAGCCUCCAUAAUCAUGUCUAUAAUUACAAUGACUAAUUGAAAUGACCCCUUCUUUUUCUAUUCUGAGAUUGAUGAGAAGAUAUCAUUGGAAAGUCUCCAGAAACUCAAGCUAACUUUUGAGGUACUGAGAGAAUUGUUAUAAAAAUAUCAUAUUUUGAGAUUUAACUAUAUGUUUUUUUCUAAAGGAAUAUGAAGCGAAAGGCUUAAGAUGCAUUGAUGAGGGAGCUUUUGGACACGCGCUGAAGACGUGUUUUGGUUUGUCUAACACGGUGAGACAGCAUGGCAUUUGUCUUCACAUCUUUUCCCCUCUUAAUGUUCUCACUAACUGACCUUUCCUCAGCUAAAUAUAAUUCUUCAUUAAUUAGAAAAAAGUGUCAUUGUCCUCGUUUGUCUUUUGGAUUUCACAGAGCAAUGAACAGAUUCAUGGAUUAUUUAAGAAGAUUGAUUAUUUAGAUCAAGGAAAGAUUUCUUGGGUAAGGCGAUAUUCACGUAUAAGUUUCUCAUUAAGUCUGCAGCCAUUCACUUGUUGAGUCAUUUGCCGCCUCGGUGCAUGUUCCCUUUAGCAGCAAGCAAUA
RNAcentral lists this long non-coding RNA (1281 nucleotides) under Oryzias javanicus (javanese ricefish). Its description in RNAcentral is "lncRNA (ENSOJAG00000010465.1)". The record is from RNAcentral. Lineage: Eukaryota; Metazoa; Chordata; Actinopteri; Beloniformes; Adrianichthyidae.